RNAcentral lists this ribosomal RNA (300 nucleotides) under uncultured Anoxybacillus sp. Its description in RNAcentral is "bacterial SSU rRNA". It matches the Rfam family "Bacterial small subunit ribosomal RNA", at positions 1080 to 1382 of the family's 1533-position model. The record is from RNAcentral. Lineage: Bacteria; Bacillati; Bacillota; Bacilli; Caryophanales; Anoxybacillaceae.
UUAAGUCCCGCAACGAGCGCAACCCUCGACCUUAGUUGCCAGCAUUCAGUUGGGCACUCUAAGGUGACUGCCGGCUAAAAGUCGGAGGAAGGUGGGGAUGACGUCAAAUCAUCAUGCCCUUAUGACCUGGGCUACACACGUGCUACAAUGGGCGGUACAAAGGGUCGCGAACCCGCGAGGGGGAGCCAAUCCCAAAAAGCCGCUCUCAGUUCGGAUUGCAGGCUGCAACUCGCCUGCAUGAAGCCGGAAUCGCUAGUAAUCGCGGAUCAGCAUGCCGCGGUGAAUACGUUCCCGGGCCUU